Molecule: ribosomal RNA, 1209 nt
Filed under: Prevotella sp.
Lineage: Bacteria; Pseudomonadati; Bacteroidota; Bacteroidia; Bacteroidales; Prevotellaceae
Also listed under: 2 other names
Description: bacterial SSU rRNA
Rfam family: Bacterial small subunit ribosomal RNA
Source: RNAcentral
GAUGAACGCUAGCUACAGGCUUAACACAUGCAAGUCGAGGGGAAACGGGAGAAUAGCUUGCUAUUCUUUGUCGUCGACCGGCGCACGGGUGAGUAACGCGUAUCCAACCUUCCCAUAGCUAAGGAAUACCCCGUAGAAAUGCGGCCUAAUCCCUUAUGGUCUCUUAUACCUGACAUCGGAAUAAGAGUAAAGAUUUAUCGGUUAUGGAUGGGGAUGCGUCUGAUUAGCUUGCUGGCGGGGUAACGGCCCACCAGGGCAUCGAUCAGUAGGGGUUCUGAGAGGAAGGUCCCCCACAUUGGAACUGAGACACGGUCCAAACUCCUACGGGAGGCAGCAGUGAGGAAUAUUGGUCAAUGGGCGAGAGCCUGAACCAGCCAAGUAGCGUGCAGGAUGACGGCCCUAUGGGUGUGUAAACUGCUUUUUAAGGUGAAUAAAGAAGGGCACGUGUGCCCUGUUGCAUGUAGCCUUGGAAUAAGGACCGGCUAAUUCCGUGCCAGCAGCCGCGGUAAUACGGAAGGUCCAGGUGUUAUCCGGAUUUAUUGGGUUUAAAGGGAGCGUAGGCCGCAGGUUAAGUGUGUUGUGAAAAGCAGUCGCCCAACGUCUGCCUUGCAGCGCAAACUGUCCUGCUUGAGUGCGCACAACGCAGGCGGAAUUCGUCGUGUAGCGGUGAAAUGCUUAGAUAUGACGAAGAACUCCGAUUGCGAAGGCAGCUUGCGGGAGCGCAACUGACGCUGAAGCUCGAAAGUGCGGGUAUCGAACAGGAUUAGAUACCCUGGUAGUCCGCACGGUAAACGCUGGAUGCCCGUUUUUGGCUUAUUUUAAGUCAGAGACCAAGCGAAAGCAUUAAGCAUCCCACCUGGGGAGUACGCCGGCAACGGUGAAACUCAAAGGAAUUGACGGGGGCCCGCACAAGCGGAGGAACAUGUGGUUUAAUUCGAUGAUACGCGAGGAACCUUACCCGGGGCUUGAAUUGCCAGAGACGGCUCCAGAGAUGGAGCUUCCCUUCGGGGGCUCUGGUGACGGUGCUGCAUGGGUUGUCGUCAGCUCGUGCCGUGAGGUGUCAGCUUAAGUGCCAUAACGAGCGCACCCCCUUUCUUCAGUUGCCAUCGGGGUAUUGCCCUGGCACUCUGUAAAAUCCGCCGCCGAUCGGGUUGAGGAAGGGUGGGACUACGUCAAAUAGCAGGCCCUACGUCGGGCUAACAGGUUAAA